GCGAGUGAGUGCACGUAGCAAACCGCCUCGUCGAAAGGAGGAGAGAGAAACAAGUAUAUACGAGGGGCAGGGCCCCCCCUCCUCUCCCUUCGUCCAUUCCGAUCACUCGCUGCUCCCCUCUCUCGCCGGAGCGAGCCCCGGGCCGGAUGGCGGCGGCAGCAGCAGCUCCUCCCGCCUCCGCGAUCGCGUGAUGGACGCCGACGCCGACGCCGCCGCGAUCCGCCGAUGGACGACGCCGGAAGGGCACCACCACCCGCGCCAGCGGCGGUGACCGUCUCCGCCACCGCCGCACCCGCGCCUACCCCGCCCUCCGCCACGGCCGCCGCCGACAAGUCCUCCCUCGACCCCGACGCGCUUUAUGAAGAGGGGAUGUGGCAACAGAUGGCCAUGAACAGCGGUGCCACAAUGCAACCUGGGUCAUAUCCUGAGCGACCAGGUGAACCGGACUGCACUUACUACCUCAGGACUGGAUUGUGUCGAUUUGGCAUGAGCUGCAGGUUCAAUCAUCCUCCGGAUAGGAAUCUGGCUAUUGCCUCUGCCAGAAUGAAGGGAGAAUAUCCUGAGAGAGUGGGACAGCCAGAGUGUCAGUAUUAUCUGAAGACCGGAACAUGCAAGUUUGGUCCUACAUGCAAAUUUCACCAUCCCAGGGAAAAGGCCGGAAUUGCAGGGAGGGUGCAGCUAAACACAUUAGGAUAUCCACUUCUCCCGAAUGAAAAGGAGUGUGCGUAUUAUUUAAAAACAGGACAAUGUAAAUAUGCAAAUACUUGUAAAUUCCACCACCCAGAACUUUUCAAUGUGGUGCCUUCGUCACGUGGUUCACCUAUUUAUACUUCUGUACAUUCCUCUGCAAGCGCUGGUCCACAGUCAUAUACUGGAACUAUGUCAAGCUGGACUUUUCCACGAGCUUCUUUUAUACCAAGCCCUAGGUGGCAAAGUCCUUCAAAUUAUGCACCAAUGGUUGUACCUCAUGGCCUUGUCCAAGUGCCGAGCUGGAAUUCAUAUCCUGGUCAGCUGCAGUCACCUGGGGCUCAACAAACUUAUGGAAGUUCACAACAAGGCGAAGCUAGUGCAGGAAAUCAGGGAAUGCUAUCACCCUAUAGAUCCAGUUCAUUUCCUGUGCCUCAAUAUGCGUUGCAGAGAGAUAAUGUAUUUCCUGAGAGACCCGAUGAACCAGAAUGCCAAUAUUACAUGAAGACAGGAGAUUGUAAAUUUGGUGCAGUGUGCAAGUUCCAUCAUCCCCGUGUGAGAUCACAGCCCCCUCCGGAUUGUGUCUUAAGUCCAAUGGGUCUUCCAAUACGUCCAGGUGAAGAACUUUGCAAAUUCUAUUCUCGUUAUGGCAUCUGCAAGUUCGGCGCCAACUGUAAAUUUGAUCAUCCUACAAUGGCUGCUCCAAUGGGAGUUUAUGCAUAUGGUUUCUCUGGGUCUGCUUCUGUCGCACCCGCUUCAACUAAUGCACCUAUGACGCGACAUCUUCUUGGAUCUCCAUCAGGUUCUGGAUAUAUGUCUUAGGUGUCUUUUUUUUCAGUUGACCUACUUUGAUGUAUAAAAUCCACGGCAUCGCCUCAGGCGCUGUGAAUGUUUCUCCUAACUUCCCGCCGGGAUGAAGUUCUGUAAAUUGAGUUGCUGCUGGAGAUGUACAGCCCCCCCCCCCCCCCCCCCCCCCCCCCUCCCCAAUUAAUCCAGAACUUUGGGAAUAACUGUUGGAACCUAAUAAACUUCAGAUACAGAAACGCUGGUUUUCAGGUGUUUGCACUAUUUUGACACUGCUGCACCUAUGGUCCCUAACAGUUGAGGUAGGAAUUCUUCUGAAGGAGCUGAAACCUGUAGCUGCAGUGUAUCCCAGCCUACGGCUUCUGCCAAGACAGUAAACUCAGGACCUGUUUGGGACUGUUCCACUAUUCAAAAAAUGAAUUUGAAUCUGGGAUUCAUUAUUAAAGUUUCGCCGACGAAUCUGAGAUCCUUUUUAGAUAGCAGCUUAUUCACGUAAGGAUAUUCUGUCUGAAAUAGACUAAUUUAUUUUUAUGAUA
Molecule: RNA transcript, 2027 nt
Organism: Zea mays
Lineage: Eukaryota; Viridiplantae; Streptophyta; Magnoliopsida; Poales; Poaceae
Gene name: zinc finger CCCH type domain-containing protein ZFN-like 2
Exons: 8
Source: RefSeq, marked validated